Molecule: ribosomal RNA, 439 nt
Filed under: uncultured bacterium
Lineage: Bacteria
Description: partial 16S ribosomal RNA
Rfam family: Bacterial small subunit ribosomal RNA
Source: RNAcentral
CCUAGGGGGGCAGCAGUGAGGAGUAUUGCACAAUGGGGGGAACCCUGAUGCAGCAACGCCGCGUGGAGGAUGACGCAUUUCGGUGUGUAAACUCCUUUUAUAUGCCAAGAAAAUGACGGUAGCAUAUGAAUAAGCACCGGCUAACUCCGUGCCAGCAGCCGCGGUAAUACGGAGGGUGCAAGCGUUACUCGGAAUCACUGGGCGUAAAGGACGCGUAGGCGGGUUGGAAAGUCAGGUGUGAAAUCCUACAGCUUAACUGUAGAACUGCACUUGAAACUUCUAAUCUAGAGUAUGGGAGGGGGAGAUGGAAUUAGUGGUGUAGGGGUAAAAUCCGUAGAUAUCACUAGGAAUACCUAAAGCGAAGGCGAUCUCCUGGAACAUUACUGACGCUAAGGCGUGAAAGCGUGGGGAGCAAACAGGAUUAGAUACCCCAGUAGUC